RNAcentral lists this ribosomal RNA (869 nucleotides) under uncultured crenarchaeote. RNAcentral's name for it is "bacterial SSU rRNA". It matches the Rfam family "Archaeal small subunit ribosomal RNA", at positions 21 to 865 of the family's 1478-position model. Lineage: Archaea; Thermoproteati; Thermoproteota. The record is from RNAcentral.
ACCCCACUGCUAUCGGGAUAGGACUAAGACAUGCUAGUUAGGCGCUCACCAGCCAAAGGUGGGUGCGGCGCACAGCUCAGUAACACGUGGCUAACCUGCCCUUGGGAUAGGGACAACCCCGGGAAACUGGGGCUAAUCCCCAAUAGGCGAAGAGCUCUGGAAUGAGCCUUCACCCGAAAGGAGGCUCACACUAUGCUUGUGGGCUUCGCCCAAGGAUGGGGCCGCGACCGAUCAGGUUGUUGGUGAGGUAAUGGCUCACCAAGCCUAUAACCGGUGCGGGCCGUGGGAGCGGGAGCCCGGAGAUGGGCACUGAGACAAGGGCCCAGGCCCUACGGGGCGCAGCAGUCGCGCAAACUUUGCAAUACACGAAAGUGUGACAGGGCUAUCCCGAGCGCCGUCCGCUGAGGAUGGCUUUUACCCAGUCUAGAACGCUGGGGGAAUAAGGAGAGGGCAAGUCUGGUGUCAGCCGCCGCGGUAAUACCAGCUCUCCGAGUGGUGUGGAUGUUUAUUGGGCCUAAAGCAUCCGUAGCUGGCCAAGCAAGUCCCUUGUUAAACCCACCGAAUUAAUCGUUGGAUUGCGGGGGAUACUGCUCGGCUAGGGGACGAGAGAGGCAGACGGUAUUUUCGGGGUAGGGGUGAAAUCCUAUAAUCCCGGGAAGACCACCAGUGGCGAAGGCUGUCUGCUAGAACGCGCCCGACGGUGAGGGAUGAAAGCUGGGGGAGCGAACCGGAUUAGAUACCCGGGUAGUCCCAGCUGUAAACGAUGCAGGCUAGGUGUUUGGACGGUCACGUGCCGUUCUAGUGCCGCAGGGAAGCUGUUAAGUCUGCCGCCUGGGGAGUACGAUCGCAAGAUUGAAACUUAAAGGAAU